This 69-nucleotide transfer RNA is filed under the name Caudoviricetes sp. RNAcentral describes it as "tRNA-Pro". It matches the Rfam family "tRNA". Rfam says of the family: Transfer RNA (tRNA) molecules are approximately 80 nucleotides in length. The record is from RNAcentral. Lineage: Duplodnaviria; Heunggongvirae; Uroviricota; Caudoviricetes.
GAGAACGUGGUGUAAUGGCAGCACUCCUGAUCUGGGAUCAGGAAGAGAGGUUCGAAUCCUACGUUUUCG